ACGAACGCUGGCGGCAGGCCUAACACAUGCAAGUCGAGCGCCCCCGCAAGGGGGAGCGGCGGACGGGUGAGUAACGCGUGGGAAUUUUCCUCAAGGUACGGAACAACUCAGGGAAACUUGGGCUAAUACCGUAUGAUGUCUAGCGACCAAAGAUUUAUCGCCUUGGGAUAAGCCCGCGUCAGAUUAGGUAGUUGGUGGGGUAACGGCCUACCAAGCCUGCGAUCUGUAGCUGGUCUGAGAGGACGAUCAGCCACACUGGGACUGAGACACGGCCCAGACUCCUACGGGAGGCAGCAGUGGGGAAUCUUGCGCAAUGGGCGAAAGCCUGACGCAGCCAUGCCGCGUGAAUGAUGAAGGUCUUAGGAUUGUAAAGUUCUUUCGCCCGUGACGAUGAUGACGGUAACGGGAGAAGAAGCCCCGGCUAACUUCGU
RNAcentral lists this ribosomal RNA (431 nucleotides) under uncultured bacterium. RNAcentral describes it as "bacterial SSU rRNA". It matches the Rfam family "Bacterial small subunit ribosomal RNA", at positions 29 to 506 of the family's 1533-position model. The record is from RNAcentral.